AUCAGUCUGCAGUUCCUGCGUGUCAGGAUGGGGCGUUCGUGCUCGUCUGAGACGUGCCACCCUCGAACUUUGUUACAACGUCAGCACAUCACCCGCUGACC
This is a small nucleolar RNA of Saimiri boliviensis boliviensis (Bolivian squirrel monkey), 101 nucleotides long. RefSeq annotates it as small nucleolar RNA U13. The record is from RefSeq and is a predicted model, not a curated record. Lineage: Eukaryota; Metazoa; Chordata; Mammalia; Primates; Cebidae.